RNA transcript from Gordionus sp. m RMFG-2023, 3055 nucleotides. It is a transcript of the gene named polyphosphoinositide phosphatase-like, with no coding region annotated. The record is from RefSeq and is a predicted model, not a curated record. The transcript is spliced from 19 exons. Lineage: Eukaryota; Metazoa; Nematomorpha; Gordioida; Chordodea; Parachordodidae.
CAGUAUUAUCACGAUAACAUAUCAUAUGUUAAUUUCAAAAAAAUCGGAAUGUUGCAUUAUUAUCCAAUUAUAUCGGAGAUACAAAGAAUAUAUGUCUAUGAAACUUAUACGAGAUUAUAUUUAAUCGGAUCCGAUUAUAAAGAAACCAAAUUUCGUAUUUUAAAAAUUGACAGAACUGAAGAAAAGGAUUUAAUAAUUCAUGAGGAGGAGGUUUCUUAUAAUUUUGAAGAGAUUAAGGAAUUACUUCAGAUGGUGGAUUUAGGAAAUAGAACUAAAGUAGCUCUAAAAAAUCAAAACAAACUCUCAAAAAAUAUAUCAGCAUUUGGAAUUAUAGGAUUUGUGAAAUUUCUUUUUGGCUAUUAUGUUAUAUUAAUAACUAAAAAAAAUAAAGUUGGAUUUAUUGGCCACCACAACAUAUAUAAGAUUGAAGAUACUUAUAUGUUGUAUAUACCUAACAAUCAACAACCACUUCAAAAUCCAGAAGAACAAAAAUUUGUCAAAAUGUUUCAAACAAUAGAUUUAUCUAGCAAUUUUUACUUCAGUUACAGCUAUGAUCUGACACAUUCACUUCAAUACAAUUUUUCAAUAUUAAAACAAAAAGAAUUUUUUGAGAGACUAAUUGAAAAAGAUGCUGCCAAACUUAAUAAUAAAAAUGUAAUUGGAUAUAAAGUUAAGCCAUGUUGGCAAUAUGUUUGGAAUAGACAUUUAUUAACACCAUGGCAUCACAAGGUUCAUUUUGACUGGUGUAUUCAUAUCAUUCAUGGGUUUUUAAAGCAAACCAUCAUAUCUGUUUUUGGUCAAGAUAUUGUUCUAACUCUCCUAGCAAGAAGGUCAAGUUUUUAUGCCGGAACUCGAUACCUGAAAAGAGGAAUAUCCUUGAUAGGAGGUUACACUGCAAAUUCGGUCGAGACUGAACAAAUAUUAGAAAAUUUAGCUGAAAGCAUGUCGUACUCAUCAUACGUGCAAUUUCGUGGAUCAAUACCCACGUUUUGGUGCCAGGAAUCUUCAAAGAUGGUCCCCAAGCCUCCUAUAUUAUUAAACAAUACCGAUCCAUUUUGUUUAGCACCUGGGACUCAUUUUCAUCGUUUAAUGAAACGGUAUGGAACCCCUAUUAUUGUCUUGAAUUUAGCCAAAAACAGAGAAACUAAAAGGGGAGAAGGAAUUUUAACCGAAGAAUUCAUUAAUUCGAUAUGUUAUCUUAAUCAGUUUCUACCGCUUCGCCAUAAAAUUUUAUACCAAGGUUUUGAUAUGGCCAGAAUGAACAGGAACAAAUCAAUUGACGUUAUCAAAAAAUUGGAAGAAAUUUGUUACGACUACAUUAUCAAAACCGAUAUUUUUUUAGCCACCAUUUCCUGCUCCCUCUCUACUAUCAAAUGCAUGUCUCGUCAACAAAAGGGGGUCAUAAGAAGCAAUUGUGUCGAUUGCUUGGAUCGGACCAAUACCGCUCAGUUUGUGAUAGGCAAAUGCGCCUUGACUCUUCAAUUGGAAGCCCUUGGUGUUUUGGAUGAACAAGAUCUAGAAACUUACUCUGAUAUUAAUUGCGGCGAGAUGGAUAACCUAACUAGGAAUGGUGGGCGAUGCCGUAAAUUGACCUUUGAUAGCGACAUUAUAAGAAUGCUUGAAGAUUUAUACGAGGAACAAGGGGACGUUUUGGCAAUGCAAUAUGGAGGUUCUCAAUUAGUACACAGAGUCGAUACCUACAGGAAAAUUUCUCCGUCUUGGACCUAUCAUUCAAGAGACAUGAUGCAAACAUUUUCAAGAUAUUAUAGCAACGCCUUUUCUGAUGCCGAGAAACAAGACGCCAUAAACUUAUUUUUAGGAGCCUACGUGCCUUCCAUACAUUACCCUCCUGCUAUAUGGGAAAUGACCAAUGAUUUUCAUUUGCACAAUUCGUCACAGGCCCAAUUUAUAGAUAACUUUGUUAACCUUUCCGAAAUUCCGGCCAAAGAUUCUAAAGAUAGAUCCUUUUGCAAAUGGUAUGACAAGUCCGUUUUAGAGUGUCUUCCUAUGCCAUACGAACAAGUAAAACUCGAUCCCAAUGAUAUUCAAAUCGAAUAUAUGAAAAACUUCCACGAAAAUCAAAGAAUCGAUUCAUAUUACGAUUUUUAUAAACCAUACGAGUAUUCCAGUUUUGAAAGUCUGUUUUUCUUGAAUGCAGUUAACACCAUAAGAGAUUACAUGCCCACGAAUUCUAAACAAUAUUCUCCCUUCAUUUCGAGAAGGCUUAUACAACCACACCAUUCGUUUUCUUUUGUUGAAAUCGGGCCGGCAUUAACUGUUAUCGCGAAAGAUAAUCAGGAGACCCUAAAUAAUAAUGAGACAGAAUAUGUUAUCUUGAGUUCAACGGGCAAUGAUAAUAACUUAGCCGUUAUUAAUGAUAAAAAGCUGAUUAAGAAUGGAGUUGGCCCUUUUUGUCCUUUGCAAUCAUUAACAAGUGAGGAUGAGAAUUUAUACAAAGCCUAUGUUCGGAUAUUUGAAGAAAUUUGUUUUAUAAGACAGAAACCAAAUAAGAUUACGGAUUCAAUGACAGCUAUUGACAACGACCGAAUUCCUAUUAUGCUGAAUUCUUUGGUUCCCUCAACCAAAUAUGGAGCCUGUCAAAUCAAUGUAUAUUCAUUCCCGGUAGGAAUGUUCCAAUUGUAUAACGGCACUUCUCUGGCUCCCGGCCUUCCUUCCGGACAACUCUUGCAGCUUUUGACGAACACUUCAACAUCACGAUCAAGAUUCGUCCAAAAGACAUAGUAUCUGCAUAAAGAUUUCAUCCCCACUAUCCCACAAACAUGAUCGCCGAAGCCUCCCGAUCAAUGGUGGCGUAAUUCUUUUCAGCCGCUGAAAGUGUCCUCGAUGCGUAAGCAAUCGGUUUCUCCUGGCCAGUAAGAAAUCGGUGUGCAAUAACAGCUCCUAGACCAUCUUCAGAAGCGUCACAAGAAAUCACGACAGGAAUGUUGGCUAAAUAAGGAAUUAUUCUGGCCAAAACCAACUCACAUUUUACUCGUUAGUCGGUGUAAAGGCGCUCAAAUAGAAUGUAAAUUUUUAUAUACGAUUCAUGAUAAUU